Molecule: ribosomal RNA, 245 nt
Filed under: uncultured bacterium
Lineage: Bacteria
Description: partial 16S ribosomal RNA
Rfam family: Bacterial small subunit ribosomal RNA
Source: RNAcentral
UACGUAGGGUGCUAGCGUUGUUCGGAAUUAUUGGGCGUAAAGCGCGUGUAGGUGGUUAGGAAAGUUGGAUGUGAAAGCCCUGGGCUCAACUCAGGAAGAGCAUCCAAAACUACCUAGCUGGAGGGCGAGAGAGGGAGGUGGAAUUCCUAGUGUAGAGGUGAAAUUCGUAGAUAUUAGGAGGAAUACCGGUGGCGAAGGCGGCCUCCUGGAUCGUUCCUGACACUGAGACGCGAAAGCGUGGGUAG